CUUGGUUUUUCUGAGAAACCCAGCCGGAUUAGGCUGCCAGGGCGAGUAGAGGGGAGGAGGAGGGGAGCUGGUGGAACCUGGUGGAAGUCUCCCGGGCAGUCUGAUCACACUUUGUCCUUGUCCUCCAGUCUCCUCCUCCUAGGUGCAGAGAUUGUGGGCAGACUAUGUAAUCGCUGCAGAGGGGGAAGAGGAGGGAUCGGCGCUCUCCUGCGGCGGAGGCACGACGCAGCGACUCAGCUAGGCAGAGUUUCGUUGAGGCUACGCCUGGUUUGCGCCCCCGGGCGAGGAGGUCGGUCAGUCUAGCCUGGCGGUCGCGAGUCCAACUCCGGGCGUCCCCGAGGCAUGUAAGGCAGCGAGUGAGCACCCCGGUUCCACUGUGCCGCGCCGGCAGCCUGCAGACAGCAUGAAGAAGGACAGCCUGAGUCGCGCCGAUCAGCAGUAUGAGUGCGUGGCGGAGAAUACCGAAGGCGCCUAAAAGAAGGUGUUCAAGGCCCAAGAUGUGAAGAAUGGCGGCCGCUUCUUUACUCUGAAGCGCGUGUGAGUGAAGACCAGUGAGGAGGGCAUGUGGCUCUCCACCAUCUGCGAAGUGGUGGUGCUGAGGCACCUGGAGAAUUUGAGCACCUCAACGUGGUCAGGUGAGCUGGGCGCCCUGACUAUGGAGUCCAGGAAGGUGCUGGGCAAGGGGCGGCUGGUGGCCCAACUAAAGUUAAGAGUUGAGUUUCCCCAGAUAAAACCUGUGACCCUGCUAGACAGGGCAGAAAAAGAGACCUGCGGUGGCUUCCCAGCAGUCAAGCUAUUCUGGAGAGCUUUCGCUCUGUGUGCCCCAAGUGGUCCAGUGGCUUUGGGUGUCUUUUAG
This is a long non-coding RNA of Mus musculus (house mouse), 856 nucleotides long. RefSeq annotates it as predicted gene 15482. The annotation marks the transcript as partial. The transcript has a single exon. Lineage: Eukaryota; Metazoa; Chordata; Mammalia; Rodentia; Muridae. The record is from RefSeq and is a predicted model, not a curated record.